GAGCAAGGGAGUGCUCGGGAAAUGGAAACAAUGAAUGAAUCAAUCAGUCAAUCAGAUAACAAGGAUUAACAAUUUCCAGAGACAGCCCGUACAUAGAGGGAAAGUUUACUGAAAAAAAUGAAGAGGGGUCAGGGCAAGGCGAGGAGCAAGAAGCAUCCCCAAGGAAACAGAGAAGACCAGUACAACUGUACCUCUUUGCCAGCUGCACCAUCCGUACCAGGUGGCACGUUCUAGAGGCCAUAGCCUCUGUUCUGGUCAUCUCCAGUCUCCUGGGGUGGGAGUGUACAGCUCAGAGACUGCCACACUGCAAGACGAAGGGGCUGGAUGGACGGAAGUAAGAGGCGGAACCCUGCACACCCUCGGCCUCAGCCCCACUGAGUCUCCAAUGGGGCCACGCUUCUGAGUGCACCUCCCCCUGUCAUCUGUAAUGUGAGGGGGAACCAGGCUUGAUAUGGCAUUCCCAAUCCAGGGCCUCUGGACCCCUUGAGAUGCAUUAAAAUAGUGAUGGGGGCCUGAGAGUUCUUUUUUUUUUUUGGUCAUGAACUAUUUUUAACAUUUCCAAAAGGCUCCUGGAAAUUAUUAUGCAGCCAACCACAACAGGGCUGCAACAAAAUGCCAGUAUCUUCGCUUUUCUCUGGAGUCGCAUCAGCUCAGACCGUCACACUGAUCAAAGGCACCGCUUGGCAGUCAUCUAUGUUAGUGAUGAGUAAAGUAGACAGG
This 720-nucleotide non-coding RNA is filed under the name Pongo abelii (Sumatran orangutan). Lineage: Eukaryota; Metazoa; Chordata; Mammalia; Primates; Hominidae. The record is from RNAcentral.